UAAAGCUAAUAAGAGCGCAGGGCGGAUGCCUUGGCAUUGGGAACCGAAGAAGGACGUGGUUAACUGCGAAAAGCUGCGGCGAGUUGUAAGCGAACAAAGACCCGCAGAUAUCCGAAUGGAGCAAUCCAUAUGAGAGAAGCUCAUAUAUCAUAUACUGAAUACAUAGGUAUAUGAGGGGAACCUCCUGAACUGAAACAUCUAAGUAGGGAGAGGAAGAGAAAUCAACCGAGAUUUCGUAAGUAGUGGCGAGCGAAAGCGAAAGAGGCCAAACCGUAAUCAGCAAUGAAUACGGGGUUGCGGACUGCAAUUAGCAUUGUCAAAGCCUAGUUGAACAGGAUGGGAAGCCUGACCAAAGAAUGUGAGAGUCAUGUAAAUGAAAGGCCGAGACAGCGAGCAGGAUCCAGAGUACCGCGGGACACGUGAAACCCCGUGGGAAGCUGGGGGGACCACCCUCCAAGCCUAAAUAUUCCCCAAUGACCGAUAGCGAAGAGUACUGUGAAGGAAAGGUGAAAAGAACCCCGGGAGGGGAGUGAAAAAGAACCUGAAACCCUGUGCUUACAAGCACUGAGAGCACGUCAAAGUGUGAUCAGGUACCUUUUGUAGAAUGGUCCGGCGAGUUAUCAUAUGUAGCAAGGUUAAGGACUUAAGGUCUGAAGCCGAAGCGAGAGCGAGUCUUAACAGGGCGAGAAGUUACAUGUGAUAGACCCGAAACCGAGUGACCUAGCCAUGUCCAGGCUGAAGUGGAGGUAAAACUCCAUGGAGGGCCGAACCGACCCCCGUUGAAAAGGUGGCGGAUGAGGUGUGGCUAGCGGAGAAAUUCCAAUCGAACUCGGAUAUAGCUGGUUCUCCCCGAAAUAGCUUUAGGGCUAGCGUUGUAUUAGAUUACCGGAGGUAAAGCACUGAAUGGGCUAGGGGCCGAGAGGUUACUGAACCUUAUCAAACUAAGAAUGCCGGAUAAUUGAUGUACAGCAGUCAGACUAUGUGAGAUAAGUCUCAUAGUCAAAAGGGAAACAGCCCAGACCCACAGCUAAGGUCCCAAAAUAGAUUUAAGUGGAAAAGGAUGUGGGGUUGCACAGACAACCAGGAUGUUGGCUUAGAAGCAGCCACUCAUUAAAAGAGUGCGUAAUAGCUCACUGGUCGAGUGACCCUGCGCCGAAAAUUCAACGGGGCUAAACAAUGUACCGAAGCUUGGGAUUCUAAAGUAAUUUAGAGUGGUAGGAGAGCGUCGAAUAAGGGGUGAAGUCAGAGCGGAAGCGCUGGUGGACUUUAUUCGAGUGAGAAUGCCGGAAUGAGUAGCGAGAAUUAUGUGAGAAUCAUAAUGGCCGAAAAUCUAAGGUUUCCUGAGGAAGGUUCGUCCGCUCAGGGUAAGCCGGGGGCUAAGGCGAGGCGGAGACGCGUAGCCGAUGCACAUACGGUUGAAAUUCCGUAGCCACCGAAAGAUUUAAGUACAGGGACGCUUUAGAAGUGAUGUAGCCGGGCGAUGGUUGACCCGGUCGUAAGGGAUCGAAAAUGAGUAGAGAAGUCAUCAUGGAAAGAGACAAGAAAAGCUGUAUGAAUAUCUUAGGUGCCCGUACCGCAAACCGACACAGGUAGAUAGGAAGAAGAUUCUAAGGCCAACGGGAGAAGGGUUGUUAAGGAACUCGGCAAGUUGACCCCGUAACUUAGGGAUAAGGGGUGCUCAAGUGAUUGAGCCGCAGAGAAUAGGCCCAGGCGACUGUUUAGCAAAAACACAGGUCUCUGCUAAAUCGAAAGAUGACGUAUAGGGGCUGACACCUGCCCGGUGCCGGAAGGUUAAGAGGAGAUGUGAGAGCAUUGAAUUGAAGCCCCGGUAAACGGCGGCCGUAACUAUAACGGUCCUAAGGUAGCGAAAUUCCUUGUCAGGU
This 1883-nucleotide ribosomal RNA is filed under the name human gut metagenome. RNAcentral's name for it is "bacterial LSU rRNA". It matches the Rfam family "Bacterial large subunit ribosomal RNA", at positions 1 to 1977 of the family's 2925-position model. The record is from RNAcentral.